GAGAGGGGGCCGGGGGUUACGGCUUCGAGCUGGGGAAGGUCCGCCCACGCCCCCAGCGCCGCCCCUCCGCAAGGAGGCACCUCGAGAGGGGUGGGAAGGCCCACAGAAACGACACGUCCUCGGGGGGAUGACGAUGAUGCCGGUGAGGCUGAGAAUCCCCGAGGGACCGGUGAAACGGGGCCCCGGCGGCGUGCAAGCCGAUUCCCGCUAUGAGGGGCUGGGGCGAGCGGGAGGUAGGCGCUUAGCCAAAUCCCCCCAGUACAGAAGGCGGACUAUGGCCCCCACUC
RNAcentral lists this RNase P RNA (287 nucleotides) under Candidatus Korarchaeum cryptofilum OPF8. RNAcentral's name for it is "Archaeal RNase P". It matches the Rfam family "Archaeal RNase P". Rfam says of the family: Ribonuclease P (RNase P) is a ubiquitous endoribonuclease, found in archaea, bacteria and eukarya as well as chloroplasts and mitochondria. The record is from Rfam by way of RNAcentral. RNAcentral also lists the same sequence under 1 other name. Lineage: Archaea; Thermoproteati; Thermoproteota; Candidatus Korarchaeia; Candidatus Korarchaeales; Candidatus Korarchaeaceae.